This 482-nucleotide ribosomal RNA is filed under the name uncultured bacterium. Its description in RNAcentral is "partial 16S ribosomal RNA". It matches the Rfam family "Bacterial small subunit ribosomal RNA", at positions 30 to 507 of the family's 1533-position model. The record is from RNAcentral.
AUUGAACGCUGGCGGCAUGCUUUACACAUGCAAGUCGAACGGUAACAGGCCGCAAGGUGCUGACGAGUGGCGAAUGGGUGAGUAAUGCAUCGGAACGUGCCCAGUCGUGGGGGAUAACUACUCGAAAGAGUAGCUAAUACCGCAUACAAUCUAUGGAUGAAAGCGGGGGACCGUAAGGCCUCGCGCGAUUGGAGCGGCCGAUGUCAGAUUAGGUAGUUGGUGGGGUAAAGGCUCACCAAGCCAACGAUCUGUAGCUGGUCUGGGAGGACGACCAGCCACACUGGGACUGAGACACGGCCCAGACUCCUACGGGAGGCAGCAGUGGGGAAUUUUGGACAAUGGGCGCAAGCCUGAUCCAGCAAUGCCGCGUGCAGGAAGAAGGCCUUCGGGUUGUAAACUGCUUUUGUACGGAACGAAACGGCUCUGGUUAAUACCCGGGGCUAAUGACGGUACCGUAAGAAUAAGCACCGGCUAACUACGUG